UUGAAAGGGAAACGAUUGAAGUCAGUCGUACCUGCGGGUAAUCAGCCUUUUGGGUGUGAUUCUGUGGAGUGUGAGGAGUAACGCUUCAUGCCUGCAUAUUCGUGCACUUUGGGUGUACUUGCCCGUGUGGUUAGUUAACAUCAAUUUUGGUCGUCAUAAAAUGGCUGGAGGAAUGUAGCUUCGAUCUCGUAUUGAAGUGUUAUAGCCUUCGGUAGAUGUGAUGAUUGGGAUUGAGGAUUGCAACGGAUACCCUUCGGGGCUACCUGUCUGAUCUCUGAUCGUUGCUCUGGUGCCGAAAGCGUGCUUACGGUUAUCAAAGUCGAUGGUCAAAAGGUUAGAACGGGUUAAAUUCGUUAAGGAUGUUGACGUA
Molecule: ribosomal RNA, 370 nt
Filed under: uncultured Glomeromycotina
Lineage: Eukaryota; Fungi; Glomeromycota
Description: LSU rRNA
Source: RNAcentral